Molecule: ribosomal RNA, 206 nt
Filed under: uncultured bacterium
Lineage: Bacteria
Description: partial 16S ribosomal RNA
Rfam family: Bacterial small subunit ribosomal RNA
Source: RNAcentral
UCGUAGGUGGUUUGUCGCGUUGUUCGUGAAAACCUAAGGCUUAACCUUGGGCGUGCGGGCGAUACGGGCAGACUGGAGUACUGCAGGGGAGACUGGAAUUCCUGGUGUAGCGGUGGAAUGCGCAGAUAUCAGGAGGAACACCGGUGGCGAAGGCGGGUCUCUGGGCAGUAACUGACGCUGAGGAGCGAAAGCGUGGGGAGCGAACA